UACGGGGGAUGCAAGCGUUAUCCGGAUUUAUUGGGCGUAAAGCGCCUGUAGGUUGUUUAAUAAGUCUGUUGUUAAAGACUAGGGCUUAACCCCAGGAAAGCAAUGGAAACUACUAGACUUGAGUAUGAUAGGGGUAGAGGGAAUUUCUAGUGUAGCGGUGAAAUGCGUAGAUAUUAGAAAGAACACCGGUGGCGAAGGCGCUCUACUGGAUCAUUACUGACACUCAGAGGCGAAAGCUAGGGUAGCAAAAGGGAUUAGAUACCCCUGUAGUCCUAGCCGUAAACGAUGGAUACUACAUGUUGCGUUUUUAAUGCAGUAUGGUAGCUAACGCGUUAAGUAUCCCGCCUGGGGAGUACGGUCGCAAGGCUG
Molecule: ribosomal RNA, 369 nt
Filed under: uncultured phototrophic eukaryote
Lineage: Eukaryota
Description: SSU rRNA
Rfam family: Bacterial small subunit ribosomal RNA
Source: RNAcentral